RNAcentral lists this ribosomal RNA (253 nucleotides) under uncultured bacterium. RNAcentral's name for it is "partial 16S ribosomal RNA". It matches the Rfam family "Bacterial small subunit ribosomal RNA", at positions 524 to 776 of the family's 1533-position model. The record is from RNAcentral.
UACGGAGGGGCCGAGCGUUGUCCGGAGUUAUUGGGCGUAAAGCGCGCGCAGGCGGCCUCGCGCGCCCGACGUGAAAGCCCCCGGCUUAACCGGGGAGGGUCGUUGGGGACGGCGGGGCUUGAGGGCGGGAGAGGUCGGUGGAAUUCCCGGUGUAGUGGUGAAAUGCGUAGAGAUCGGGAGGAGCACCUGUGGCGAAGGCGGCCGACUGGGCCGACCCUGACGCUGAGGCGCGAAGGCGUGGGGAGCGAACGGG